RNAcentral lists this ribosomal RNA (465 nucleotides) under uncultured Klebsiella sp. Its description in RNAcentral is "bacterial SSU rRNA". It matches the Rfam family "Bacterial small subunit ribosomal RNA", at positions 338 to 795 of the family's 1533-position model. The record is from RNAcentral. Lineage: Bacteria; Pseudomonadati; Pseudomonadota; Gammaproteobacteria; Enterobacterales; Enterobacteriaceae.
CCUACGGGUGGCAGCAGUGGGGAAUAUUGCACAAUGGGCGCAAGCCUGAUGCAGCCAUGCCGCGUGUGUGAAGAAGGCCUUCGGGUUGUAAAGCACUUUCAGCGGGGAGGAAGGCGUUAAGGUUAAUAACCUUGUCGAUUGACGUUACCCGCAGAAGAAGCACCGGCUAACUCCGUGCCAGCAGCCGCGGUAAUACGGAGGGUGCAAGCGUUAAUCGGAAUUACUGGGCGUAAAGCGCACGCAGGCGGUCUGUCAAGUCGGAUGUGAAAUCCCCGGGCUCAACCUGGGAACUGCAUUCGAAACUGGCGGGCUAGAGUCUUGUAGAGGGGGGUAGAAUUCCAGGUGUAGCGGUGAAAUGCGUAGAAAUCUGGAGGAACACCGGUGGCGAAGGCGGCCCCCUGGACAAAGACUGACGCUCAGGUGCGAAAGCGUGGGGAGCAAACAGGAUUAGAUACCCUUGUAGUC